CAGUAGCCGCGGUAAUACGGAGGGCGCGAGCGUUACCCGGAUUUACUGGGCGUAAAGGGCGUGUAGGCGGCCUGGGGCGUCCCAUGUGAAAGGCCACGGCUCAACCGUGGAGGAGCGUGGGAUACGCUCAGGCUAGAGGGUGGGAGAGGGUGGUGGAAUUCCCGGAGUAGCGGUGAAAUGCGCAGAUACCGGGAGGAACGCCGAUGGCGAAGGCAGCCACCUGGUCCUCUCCUGACGCUGAAGCGCGAAAGCGUGGGGAGCAAACCGGAUUAGAUACCCCCGUAGUCCCUGUCUCUUAUAC
RNAcentral lists this ribosomal RNA (301 nucleotides) under uncultured bacterium. RNAcentral's name for it is "partial 16S ribosomal RNA". It matches the Rfam family "Bacterial small subunit ribosomal RNA", at positions 509 to 807 of the family's 1533-position model. The record is from RNAcentral.